UCCGAUAUGGUGUAGUGGCUAACAUUAUCGCCUCUCACGCGAUAGCACGGGGAUCGAUUCCCCGUGUCGGAA
Transfer RNA from Dichomitus squalens LYAD-421 SS1, 72 nucleotides. It matches the Rfam family "tRNA". From Rfam's summary of the family: Transfer RNA (tRNA) molecules are approximately 80 nucleotides in length. Their secondary structure includes four short double-helical elements and three loops (D, anti-codon, and T loops). The record is from Rfam. NCBI's taxonomy places the organism in Eukaryota, Fungi, Basidiomycota, Agaricomycetes, Polyporales, Polyporaceae.